UACGGGGGGAGCAAGCGUUGUUCGGAUUUACUGGGCGUAAAGGGCGCGUAGGCGGCCACCGCAAGUCGACUGUGAAAUCUCCGGGCUUAACCCGGAAAGGUCAGCCGAUACUGCGGGGCUAGAGUGCAGAAGGGGCAACUGGAAUUCUCGGUGUAGCGGUGAAAUUCGUAGAUAUUCGGAGGAACACCAGUGGCGAAGGCGGCUCACUGGUCCGGUACUGACGCUGAGGUGCGAAAGCGUGGGGAGCAAACAGG
Molecule: ribosomal RNA, 254 nt
Filed under: uncultured bacterium
Lineage: Bacteria
Description: partial 16S ribosomal RNA
Rfam family: Bacterial small subunit ribosomal RNA
Source: RNAcentral